UUUCCUUUCGUACUAUGUUGGAUUGUUCACCCACCAAUAGGGAAUGUGAGCUGGGUUUAAACCGUCGUGAGAUAGGUUAGUUUUACCCUACUGAUGACAGUGUCGCAAUAAUAAUCCAACCUAGUACGAGAGGAACCGUUGAUUC
Populus euphratica (Euphrates poplar) is the source of this 145-nucleotide long non-coding RNA. RefSeq lists it as uncharacterized. The transcript is spliced from 3 exons. Lineage: Eukaryota; Viridiplantae; Streptophyta; Magnoliopsida; Malpighiales; Salicaceae. The record is from RefSeq and is a predicted model, not a curated record.